This 213-nucleotide unclassified non-coding RNA is filed under the name Hevea brasiliensis (rubber tree). Lineage: Eukaryota; Viridiplantae; Streptophyta; Magnoliopsida; Malpighiales; Euphorbiaceae. The record is from RNAcentral.
GAGAGAGAGAUUUUCUAUAUUUUUAUAGGUUUCAUAAAUGUUAACUUGCCAGAGUAAAAGUGUACAAUUUAUUUAAAUAUUCUCUUUAAGAUUUUCAAAUCCUCCUUUCACCUUACACAUAUACAUGUGUGCAUAUUCAUCCAACAACACUGGGUGUUAAAGGAUAAUUCCACAUGUAAUCAAGAAAUUAUUCAACCUAAAAGCUCAAACUUA